AUUGAACGCUGGCGGCAUGCUUUACACAUGCAAGUCGAACGGCAGCGCGGGCUUCGGCCUGGCGGCGAGUGGCGAACGGGUGAGUAAUGCAUCGGAACGUGCCCAGUAGUGGGGGAUAGCCCGGCGAAAGCCGGAUUAAUACCGCAUACGACCUGAGGGUGAAAGCGGGGGACCGAAAGGCCUCGCGCUAUUGGAGCGGCCGAUGUCGGAUUAGCUAGUUGGUGGGGUAAAGGCUUACGAAGGCGACGAUCCGUAGCUGGUCUGAGAGGACGACCAGCCACACUGGGACUGAGACACGGCCCAGACUCCUACGGGAGGCAGCAGUGGGGAAUUUUGGACAAUGGGGGCAACCCUGAUCCAGCCAUGCCGCGUGCGGGAAGAAGGCCUUCGGGUUGUAAACCGCUUUUGUUCGGGAAGAAAUCCUCUGGGCUAAUACCCCGGGGGGAUGACGGUACCGGAAGAAUAAGCACCGGCUAACUACGUG
This 484-nucleotide ribosomal RNA is filed under the name uncultured bacterium. RNAcentral describes it as "partial 16S ribosomal RNA". It matches the Rfam family "Bacterial small subunit ribosomal RNA", at positions 28 to 507 of the family's 1533-position model. The record is from RNAcentral.